This is a long non-coding RNA of Zingiber officinale, 1374 nucleotides long. RefSeq lists it as uncharacterized. The transcript has 5 exons. The record is from RefSeq and is a predicted model, not a curated record. NCBI's taxonomy places the organism in Eukaryota, Viridiplantae, Streptophyta, Magnoliopsida, Zingiberales, Zingiberaceae.
AACCUUUCUUCCCCAACCCCUCGCGACCCGACUUCCCUCUCUUCUCUGUUCUCUCUCGCGGACGAUCAACGCCGACGGAGCAAGGCUUCAGCUCCGGCGAUCUUUUCUCUGCCGGCAUCGACCCUUAAGCUCAGAUCCAGCCGAAGCCCUUCUCCUUCUCAGUCCGAUCUCUCUCUUCUCUCACGUGGAAGAUCCGACGCACCCGACGCCGACAGAGGGCAACUGCUUUCCGACGAUCUGGGCCUCUUCGCGUCGCCUGAGGACGGUCGCCGGAUUCUUGAAGGUGCCGACGCUGUCCAAGCUCUUCCGAUGGAGCGAUCCCUUCCUCGGCCGGUUCUUACGCGUGAGCGACGAUGGCUAGGUGGCUAGGGCAUGGUGGAGGGCUUGGUUUUGGUUGUUUCCAACAGAUUGACCCUUCGUUUCCUCCUUCUUGAGUUGUUCACAUAACGAUCUGUGGCUCCUCAAAGUGUAUCGGAUUGGGCGAUACCUUCUGGAGACAACCGAUUGAGGGAGGUGUUCUUGAGCUGCCGGGAAGAGGCUAGAAGGAUGGUUAAUUGAUCAGUGAUCUCCCUGCUUGACCUCCUGUUGUGAUCCGAUUGAUUCCAAUGAGGUUGAGUGCUGUGGAUCAACAAGCACGACUGUGAGGUGAGGUUCUGUGUACUGUAGGUGUUCUUGGUUCUGCUCUACUUGUUCCAGCAUCAACAGUAGCUUUGAUUUGAGUGUUUGGUCUUGCAUUGUGAUGGCGUCUGAGUGUUGGCUUGGUCUCUGUUGGCUUGCUACAUAUCUAGAAAGCUCCAUGAUUUGUGCUAAGCUGAAGCGUAUCCAAUUUGGAUUUUCCAGCUCAAAAUAUCAGUAGAUUUGUUGUGGUAGUGCCUUAACAGGAUUUGAGACUUCUCCAUUCAGGAAAAGACAAGUCCGGUAGAUACAAAAAUUACAAGAUUGCAAGUUUGGAUUGAAGGUCACAAGAAAAAAAAUGGGGAGCCUAGUACUCAAGCUGUUGGAGAGACAAUAGUCAGCAUGUCCACUCAUUUUAGAUUCCUUUAGUAUUUUAUUUCACUGGUCUUAUUUUUCAUAAGAAUUUAUACUUAAGAUCUCUAUUUAUACAGCCUAAAAUGUUUUUUCUGUACCUCCUUGUACAUGUGUUCAAGCUGUUUUUUACUUGUGAGUUGGUACAUGUGUUCAAUUUCAGGUGGACCUAAUUCGACCAAAUGAUGAAAUGCAGUUUCUCGAUGAUGCAAUAGGAAGCACGGUCGCAUGGUUAUCUAAAUUUAUAGUAUUGUGUGAUUAAUACAUAUUAUACUAAUUUGUUUGGAUUGUAAGUUGAAUUGUUGUUAUGUAAUUGCUAGUUUGUUAGAGAUUUCAUAUAUUGUUUUA